CCGAUAUUUGGAUCCAAAUCACACAUGUCUUAUCCAAUAUAAUCCAGAAUUUAAAACUCGAAUUCAAAUCCAAACCACAUUAACCAAAACCUAACCCAAGCCUAAUGCCUUACCGUAUGAACUUCAAUCAAAAUUACAAACCAAGUUUAAACCAUAUGAAUCAAUCGAUCUCUUCACUAAACCAUAGCCCUAGGACUUGUAUCUACUU
Molecule: long non-coding RNA, 208 nt
Filed under: Ananas comosus (pineapple)
Lineage: Eukaryota; Viridiplantae; Streptophyta; Magnoliopsida; Poales; Bromeliaceae
Description: long non-coding RNA (ACOM_LNC030465)
Source: RNAcentral